Molecule: ribosomal RNA, 292 nt
Filed under: uncultured bacterium
Lineage: Bacteria
Description: partial 16S ribosomal RNA
Rfam family: Bacterial small subunit ribosomal RNA
Source: RNAcentral
GUGUCAGCCGCCGCGGUAAUACGGGGGGUGCGAGCGUUGUCCGGAAUCACUGGGCGUAAAGGGCGCGUAGGUGGUCUUGUAAGUCUGUGGUGAAAGCCCGGGGCUCAACCCCGGGUCUGCCGUGGAUACUGCGAGACUUGAGUACUGUAGAGGCAGGUAGAAUAUCGGGUGUAGCGGUGGAAUGCGUAGAGAUCCGAUAGAAGACCGGUGGCGAAGGCGGCCUGCUGGGCAGUAACUGACACUGAGGCGCGACAGCGUGGGGAGCAAACAGGAUUAGAUACCCCCGUAGUCC